RNAcentral lists this ribosomal RNA (497 nucleotides) under uncultured bacterium. RNAcentral's name for it is "partial 16S ribosomal RNA". It matches the Rfam family "Bacterial small subunit ribosomal RNA", at positions 28 to 507 of the family's 1533-position model. The record is from RNAcentral.
GAUGAACGCUGGCGGCGUGCCUAAUACAUGCAAGUCGAGCGAACAGACGGGGAGCUUUCUCCUCUGACGUUAGCGGCGGACGGGUGAGUAACACAUGGAUAACCUACUUAUAAGUCUGGUAUAACUUCGUGAAGUCGUAGCUAAUACGGGCUAAUAUAUUGAACCGCAGGGUUCAGUAGUUCAAGACUGUUUUGCUGUCGCUUUUCGAUGGAUCCGCGGCGCAUUAGCUAGUUGGUAAGGGAACGGCUUACCAAGGCAACGAUGCGUAGCCGACCUGAGAGGGUGAUCAGCCACACUGGAACUGAGACACGGUCCAGACUCCUACGGGAGGCAGCAGUAGGGAAUCUUCCGCAAUGGGCGCAAGCUUGACGGAGCAACGCCGCGUGAGUGAUGAAGGUCUUCGGAUCGUAAAACUCUGUCAUUAGGGAAGAACAAAUGUGUAAGUAACUAUGCACGUCUUGACGGUACCUAAACAGAAAGCCACGGCUAACUACGUG